GGCAGGCCUAACACAUGCAAGUCGGACGGUAACAGCCGGAGCUUGCCCUUGGCUGACGAGUGGCGGACGGGUGAGUAAGGCGUAGGAAUCUACCAUUCAGUGGGAAAUAGCCCGGAGAAAUCCGGAUUAAUACCGCAUACGCUCUACGGAGGAAAAGGGGCCUCUUCUUGAAAGCUCCUGCUGAUUGAUGAGCCUGCGUUGGAUUAGCUAGUUGGUAAGGUAAGAGCUUACCAAGGCGACGAUCUAUAGCUGGUCUGAGAGGAUGAUCAGCCACACUGGGACUGAGACACGGCCCAGACUCCUACGGGGGGCAGCAGUGGGGAAUAUUGGACAAUGGGGGCAACCCUGAUCCAGCCAUGCCGCGUGUGUGAAGAAGGCCUUCGGGUUGUAAAGCACUUUCAAUAGGGAGGAAUUGCAGUGUGUUAAUAGCGCAUUGUUUGACGUUACCUACAGAAGAAGCACCGGCUAACUCCGUGCCAGCAGCCGCGGUAAUAC
This 495-nucleotide ribosomal RNA is filed under the name uncultured marine bacterium. RNAcentral describes it as "bacterial SSU rRNA". It matches the Rfam family "Bacterial small subunit ribosomal RNA", at positions 41 to 526 of the family's 1533-position model. The record is from RNAcentral.